CCUACCGUGUCCGAGUGGUCCAAGGAGUGUGACUCAAGUUCCCAUCUGUGUAUGCAGGCAGGGGUUCGAAUCCCCUCGGUGUCAUUUUGGU
RNAcentral lists this transfer RNA (91 nucleotides) under Sphaerobolus stellatus SS14. RNAcentral describes it as "tRNA-Leu (CAA) (tRNA-Leu-CAA-13-1)". It matches the Rfam family "tRNA". From Rfam's summary of the family: Transfer RNA (tRNA) molecules are approximately 80 nucleotides in length. Their secondary structure includes four short double-helical elements and three loops (D, anti-codon, and T loops). Lineage: Eukaryota; Fungi; Basidiomycota; Agaricomycetes; Geastrales; Sphaerobolaceae. The record is from RNAcentral.